RNAcentral lists this ribosomal RNA (492 nucleotides) under uncultured bacterium. RNAcentral's name for it is "partial 16S ribosomal RNA". It matches the Rfam family "Bacterial small subunit ribosomal RNA", at positions 29 to 507 of the family's 1533-position model. The record is from RNAcentral.
AGUGAACGCUGGCGGUAGGCCUAACACAUGCCAGUCGAACGGCAGCACAGUAAGAGCUUGCUCUUACGGGUGGCGAGUGGCGGACGGGUGAGGAAUACAUCGGAAUCUACUUUUUCGUGGGGGAUAACGUAGGGAAACUUACGCUAAUACCGCAUACGACCUACGGGUGAAAGCAGGGGAUCUUCGGACCUUGCGCGAUUGAAUGAGCCGAUGUCGGAUUAGCUAGUUGGCGGGGUAAAGGCCCACCAAGGCGACGAUCCGUAGCUGGUCUGAGAGGAUGAUCAGCCACACUGGAACUGAGACACGGUCCAGACUCCGACGGGAGGCAGCAGUGGGGAAUAUUGGACAAUGGGCGCAAGCCUGAUCCAGCCAUACUGCGUGGGUGAAGAAGGCCUUCGGGUGGUAAAGCCCUUUUGUUGGGAAAGAAAAGCAGCAGGUUAAUACCCCGCUGUUCUGACGGUACCCAAAGAAUAAGCACCGGCUAACUUCGUG